RNAcentral lists this ribosomal RNA (253 nucleotides) under uncultured bacterium. RNAcentral's name for it is "partial 16S ribosomal RNA". It matches the Rfam family "Bacterial small subunit ribosomal RNA", at positions 524 to 776 of the family's 1533-position model. The record is from RNAcentral.
GACGUAGGAUGCAAGCGUUGUUCGGAUUUAUUGGGCGUAAAGCGAGCGUAGGUGGCUAGUUAAGUCUGGUGUUAAAGCUAGGGGCUCAACCCCUGUGUUGCACUGGAAACUGGCUGGCUUGAGGAUGGUAGGGGAAGGUGGAAUUCCGAGUGUAGCGGUGAAAUGCGUAGAUAUUCGGAGGAACACCGGUGGCGAAAGCGACCUUCUGGGCCAUUUCUGACACUGAGGCUCGAAAGCUUGGGGAGCAAACGGG